GUACCCAGUUCGGAUUGUAGGCUGCAACUCGCCUACAUGAAGUCGGAGUUGCUAGUAAUCGCGGAUCAGAAUGCCGCGGUGAAUGCGUUCCCGGGUCUUGUACACACCGCCCGUCACACCAUGGAAGUUGGGGGCGCCCGAAGUUGCCUAAGAAAUAAGGUACCUAAGGCGAAACCAAUGACUGGGGUGAAGUCGUAACAAGGUACC
Molecule: ribosomal RNA, 207 nt
Filed under: uncultured bacterium
Lineage: Bacteria
Description: partial 16S ribosomal RNA
Rfam family: Bacterial small subunit ribosomal RNA
Source: RNAcentral